AGAGUUUGAUCCUGGCUCAGGAUCAACGCUGGCGGCGUGCCUAACGCAUGUAAGUCGCACGCACGGUCCUUUGGACCGUGAGUGGCGAACGGCUGAGGAACACGUACGAACCUGCCCGCUUGUGCGGAAUACCCCACCGAAAGGUGAGCUAAUACCGCGUACGCUCAUCCCUCUUGGGAUGAGGAAACCCAAGGCGCAGCGGAGGGGCGUGCGGCCCAUCAGGUUGUUGGUGGGGUAAUGCCUACCAAGCCCGCGACGGGUAGCUGGUCUGUGAGGACGAUCAGCCAGACUGGGACUGAGACACGGCCCAGACACCUACGGGUGGCAGCAGCGAGGAAUCUUCCACACUGGGCGCAAGCCCGAUGGAGCAACGCCGCGUGGAGGACGACGGCCUUCGGGUUGUAAACUCCUUUCAGGGGGGAUGAAACGGACAGUACCCCCAGAAGAAGCCCCGGCUAACUCUGUGCCAGCAGCCGCGGUAAUACAGGGGGGGCAAGCGUUGUCCGGAAUUACCGGGCGUACAGCGCGCGCAGGCGGUCACUACGUGCCGUGUGACAUCCGUCGGCUUAACCGAGGGAGGCCAGGGUACACGGGUGAACUUGAGGCAGAGAGAGGGAUGUGGAAUACCCGGUGGAGCGGUGAAAUGCGUAGAGAUCGGGUGGAACCCAGGGGCGAAGGCGGCAUCCUGGCUCUGUACUGACGCUGAGGCGCGAGAGCGUGGGGAGCAAACCGGAUUAGAUACCCUAGUAGUCC
RNAcentral lists this ribosomal RNA (753 nucleotides) under uncultured bacterium. RNAcentral describes it as "bacterial SSU rRNA". It matches the Rfam family "Bacterial small subunit ribosomal RNA", at positions 8 to 796 of the family's 1533-position model. The record is from RNAcentral.